AUUGAACGCUGGCGGCAUGCCUUACACAUGCAAGUCGAACGGCAGCGGACCUUCGGGUGCCGGCGAGUGGCGAACGGGUGAGUAAUAUAUCGGAACGUACCUUUCAGUGGGGGAUAACGUAGCGAAAGUUACGCUAAUACCGCAUAUUCUGUGAGCAGGAAAGCAGGGGAUCGCAAGACCUUGCGCUGAUUGAGCGGCCGAUAUCAGAUUAGCUAGUUGGUGAGGUGAAGGCUCACCAAGGCGACGAUCUGUAGCGGGUCUGAGAGGAUGAUCCGCCACACUGGAACUGAGACACGGUCCAGACUCCUACGGGAGGCAGCAGUGGGGAAUUUUGGACAAUGGGCGCAAGCCUGAUCCAGCCAUGCCGCGUGAGUGAAGAAGGGCCUUCGGUUGUAAG
RNAcentral lists this ribosomal RNA (397 nucleotides) under uncultured bacterium. RNAcentral's name for it is "bacterial SSU rRNA". It matches the Rfam family "Bacterial small subunit ribosomal RNA", at positions 30 to 429 of the family's 1533-position model. The record is from RNAcentral.